GCAAGUCGAGGGGUAACAGGGAUUAGUUUACUAAUUUGCUGACGACCGGCGCACGGGUGCGUAACGCGUAUAGAACCUACCUUUUACAGAGGGAUAGCCCAGAGAAAUUUGGAUUAAUACCUCAUAGUAUUAUAAAUCGGCAUCGAUUAAUAAUUAAACAUUUAUGGGUAAAAGAUGGCUAUGCGUUCUAUUAGCUAGUAGGUAAGGUAAAGGCUUACCUAGGCGACGAUAGGUAGGGGCCCUGAGAGGGGGAUC
Molecule: ribosomal RNA, 255 nt
Filed under: uncultured bacterium
Lineage: Bacteria
Description: partial 16S ribosomal RNA
Rfam family: Bacterial small subunit ribosomal RNA
Source: RNAcentral